RNAcentral lists this long non-coding RNA (215 nucleotides) under Jatropha curcas. RNAcentral describes it as "long non-coding RNA (JCUR_LNC002230)". The record is from RNAcentral. Lineage: Eukaryota; Viridiplantae; Streptophyta; Magnoliopsida; Malpighiales; Euphorbiaceae.
UGCUGUUGGAGCAGAUAUAUAUAAUGGUGCUGAAUGUCUGGGACAGUGAUGAAGAGUGGUUGGACCAAAGCGAAGAAGUGUGGGUAGGGAGCGAAGAAGUGUGGGUAGGGAGUGAAGAUGAGGUAGUUGUGCAUCUUGUUACUCUGGACAUGUGGAGUAGCGAGGAGGAAAGGGAAGCGAGAGCUGUGAAUCAUAUGACCCAAAGUGGUCAGAUU